Amphiprion ocellaris (clown anemonefish) is the source of this 5858-nucleotide long non-coding RNA. Lineage: Eukaryota; Metazoa; Chordata; Actinopteri; Pomacentridae. The record is from Ensembl.
CAGAGAUUGAAUGUUCUGAAAAAGAUUUGGCACAGAACCUUGAAGCAGAACAAAUCCACCCUCCUCCACACACACACACACACACACACUCGUCCUGCCACACACACAGACACACACCCCUAUGACAUGUUCCUCCAGUGUUAAUACGCACAUCUGUGAUUAUAACAGGUUAAAACACAGUCUUAAGAAACAAUCACAAGAACAACCAUAGUCAAUAUUGCAGAAGAAAAGCCGAAGCGAAACAAAGAAGCAGAUGGAGGCCAUGUUUAAUUGAACAGAGGGAAGGAAAUAUCAGAAGCCUUGGUUUGUUGUGAGUUUGUUUUCCAUUUUCCUGAGAGGAUCGGGGUGGUGCAGAGGGGGCUAACGGGAGCGUGUUUGUGUGGAUCAAGGGGUUAAUACAGAAUCACGACUUGACAUCUAGCUGCAGGGGGGUGAAAAAUGGCAGAAGGGGAAGGUGGGAGGGGUGAAACAGGAAGCAUGAGGUAGAUAGAGAAGAGCAGAGGAGGAGGAGGAGGAGGAGGAGGAGGAGAGCAGGAGGGUGUAGGGGAUGAGAAGCACGAGAGGAGGAAAAAGGGGGGGAUAAUGCAAGACGGACUCCUGAGAGCAAGCGAGCGUAUGUAUGCAUGUGUGUGUGACUCAGAGGGAGAGGCCGUGACUGAGGCUUUAGCUACAUAUCUGAAGGAGAGGGUGAGAAAAAAGGCAGGGAAGCAGGAGAAGUGAGCCGUGCUCCUCCUCGGCCUCCCCUGGGUCGGGGACAGAGAGGAGUCAUUUCCCCUCCGGCGCUGGGUGACAUAUAAGCACCGCGGCGGCCUUUCCUCCUUCAUGUCUUCAUCCCUGCCACACACAGAUACACAAACAGAGAUACCACUCGAGUGCACGCACACGCAGCCCAUUCGGACGUAUGCAUAAAUAUGCACACUUACGCCACUCAUGCAGACAUUACACAAGCCUCUGUGCAAGUCCCAUAUUGCGUUCAUGCACACACACAUGCAAACGCACAUGUAGACUGAAACCUACACAGAUAUGGAGUGACAGGAUGUCUCUCAGUGUCAUCUUUCAUUCCUCCUGUCAUCUUUGUCUCUUCUCAGUCUAUCUGUCCUUUCUGCUUCUCUAUUUCUGUCUGCCCUGUCCUCCCUUGUCACUCUAUUUCCUUUGGGCUCAGAGGAUGGGCGAGCCUGAGGCGACAGAAGCUGUUGCGUGGUAGGCUGGCUCUGGUGCCCUGUAAAUGUGGCACAGCCAUGUCGGGCCGCACACAAACAGCUCGUGCACAACUGAGGGCACCGUCUGAAAGUCGCCUGUAGCCGUGCGUGAGAAUUAGGGGUAAAAAUUGUAAGGUUAGUGUCACAUUGACUAUGAGCUGGGAUGGGAGCCGACGUGAAAUGAGGGUACUGAGGGCCAGACGGGAUAAAUAAAUCAGCACCAAUGAGAAAAAGCAGCAUGCCUCACUGGCUGACAUGUGGGGGUGGAGACAAGAAAGGAUAAAGAAAAAUCAAUAUCUCCAGUAAAAGUAUCUUUCAUAUUGAUGACUGUUUACAACCGUUUCCUGCCUUUUUUUAAAAAUAAAAAACUUCUUACACUGAGGAAACUGCAGGUCGGAUUCAAAGCUCAGCUGGGGAGGCUUAUCUGGGUCAGAGCUGACUUGUGCUCUAGUUUCACCUUUCAGAGACCCAACAACUCCCGACCCUCAAAGCUGACAUCCGGCGAGGGUUUUGACCUCAUGUCCUCUGGGCUUCUGCCACCUCAGUAGACAGAUAACAGUUAGACAGCUCUAUUAUCAAACCAGCAGCUUAUAUACAUAUGGCUGUCGCUAUCUCUUCACUACGCUCCAUAAGGUGCUCCAACCAGACCUGAAUUUACACUUCAAAGCGUUGAAAUGUGCUCUAUGGCCCCUGCCCAGCUUCAAACAAACAUCAGACACAGCGGAGUAUGAUUAUGAUGCUGAGCCAAGGUACCCAUAAACAGUAAAUCUGGAAGCUGGAUGGCUGUGGAUGGCCUGGAAUGUGUGUUUGGAAACUUAACUGUGAGUCGGUCCGCUGAGAGUCGCACAGCAGCUGGGUCAGCACAUUCUUUAAUAGUCAGGACAUUCCAAUACAAGUCCCCGAGUCCGCACACAUCACAAAACUGGAGGAGAGUUUUCUACAGCGCUCCGGGGCAUGAAGUCGCUCCAGAAGUACGCUUCCAAAUCCCAACACGGGCCGCGACAUCCCAGAUUGUUCUCAAAACACAAAUCCGUAUUUGAAAGCGCAAUAUGGUCGCUGUCGGGUGAAAAACCUUGCACGGCCCCAAAUGUCAGCCUUUCAAGAUCUAAGACAAGCAGGCUGCUUUUGAACUUGUCACACCAAGAUGUUUUUAGUUCACUCCAUGGAGUUCUGAAAGGGUUUUACCGGCACAAAAGGGCUGCAGAGUCUCAAAGUCUCACAAACACAAAACUCCACUGAUGUUCAAAAUUGGACUUACAAGAUUUUCACGUGACAAUAAUGAUAUUCUGCUUCAUAAAGCAUUCAUGAGAAGCUCUGUAUUGAGCAGUGCUCCAACUUUACUAUUCCCAUUAAUCGGUGCUUUACAAUUACAUGGGCUGUGAGCGUGUCCCAUUUUACUAUUUCAGCGUCUUCAGUGGAUUUUUCUCAGUUUUCUUCAGUGCUGCAGCUCUGAGGCCUUUUGACCUACAGCUGAGUGACACAGAGGAGAUAGUCAUCUGGGAUGAAACACCACUCAUCACUCUCACAUCACAGACCACACACACUGACAGCCCCCUCCGACUCCAUGUGGCUCAAAGCUCACGAGAAGACCAAAAUGGACAUCUUGCGACCAACUGGCCACACGGUUUCCAAGGCAACAAGGAAAUAAGCCAUAUGCUAAUGCGGUGGCCAUUCUCAAAUUAAGGACACCUUCACAGGGUAUAAAGCACACGAGGCAGCAGUUGAGAGGUCUGCAUUAACUGCCAAUGCAAAUUGUUUAAGAAAGCUCCAGCUCAGUCAAUAAAUCACUCAGUCAGCCGGCGUCAGGGAGCGAACACGCAUGCGUGAGUCUUACAUACGCUGGUGUGGUCAGGUCUGAUGAGUGGCCGCGGGGCAGGGUUUUCACAGUGAUGACACAGAAAAAUGUCUGUGCACAUUUCAUCUCAAGCUCCAGCAGAAAGACAUCGCAGUGACAAAAAAAAUGAAAAAUUCUCUCAUAAUGUGACAAAACAGAAUGACCCGGACGUCUGAAAAACUGGUGCCAUCAACUCGGCCUUAGACCAGUGUGAUGGUGAUGAAAGCAGCCCCUGACUGCCAAGCAUCCCACAGCUGAGGCGUAGCGGAGCGCAGUGAGGCUGCUGCUGCUGCUGCUGCUGCUGGGCAGGGGGAGGCUCUGUGACACAGUGGCACACAAAACACUGCUGCACUCAUCACAAUAACACAGCAGCCAUCAUGUGAGGAGGCAGCGACUGGCUCUCGUGGACCGUCUUGAUGGCCGCGUGAAAAAUAACAGCAAUAACCAUACGCAUAAAUUACAGCCGGUUUGUUGCUUUUGGCCUCUGCAAUGUGGAGAAAAUUAGCACCGGUGCCUAAGCGCAUGCAUCAUUGACACCAUACAUAUCAAUAAUGCAUUGACCUCUGCUGUCACUUCACCGCUAUUUUUAAAAGUAGGGGUGACAGAAGAGAAAUUAAGCUGCAUGGAGCUCACUUAGAGCUUGUAGUGCUGAGGUUAACAUGUGUGCAGUCUCGCCCUCGGAGACCGGCUCGAAUAUGGUCGCGGUGUUCCUAACGCUGCCCGCCGCAGCGAGCGGCAGAUUGAACCUGGAAUGCCCUCAUAUCUGCGAUUACACGAACCUCACCCACCAUAAGCCAGCAGCCCCAAAUAGUUUCAUGUGCAUCAUUACGAUUAUGACUAAAAGUCGCAUCACCGUCAAGGCGAUUAACCACAAAUACAGCCCCCUGAAAAUGCACAUUUAAAAUCACUUAAGCUUCGCCAACAGGUGUUAUUCUCUUAUAUAGCCGAGCCAGGGCAAAACAAUAAAAAUAAAUGGCACAAUCCAGAAUGCUAACUUUGAUUAGCUGAUGUGAGGUAAACAAAAAGCUGCCACUAGACUCGACCCCUGACCCCUCGGCCUGCGGUGGCACAUUGACAGAGCUGGAAGAGGCUCGGGAAGUUCUUUUGAAAGCAGAGGUCGGCCUGAUUGAGCAGACUUUUCAUCAGUUGGGUUUAUCCCAGUAUGCAGAGAAAGAGAGAGAGGAGGGAGGGAGCUGCUUAAGCGAGGAAAAAAAAUCCAGUUUUUACUUUAAGUGUCAGUGAGAGGAUCAUAAAAGUAGCCUGAAGCAGAGGGAGACAGACAGAGCUGGUUUAAACUGGGGAUUUAAAAUGGAGGUCUGACCACCCCUCCUCCCUCUUCCCCUCCUUAUACAACCGAGCGAGCGUAAACCCACCUGAACACACACACACAUGCGCACGCACGCACACACACACCGGGCACAAUCGCAUCAACAAUGGUGUAACAUCUUUUGCCAUAAACAGCGUAGCGCUUGAAAUGUCCUGAUUUCUUUGCCUUAUACAACAGUACAACAGGCAUUUUAUAAUCCAGAGCUGCACAUGCAAUAAAACACCCAAACACGCACACACACACACAGACACACACACACCCAUAUUCUGGUGUUUUUCACCUAUUCCCUGAAUGGGUGAAUGAGCGGGUCCCUUCCUGCACAGUAAACACAGCAUUUCCAUUAGAUUGUUAGGAGUGUGUUCAGUGCUCUGUGACUCAGACACUGCAGCACUGUGACUGUGUGUCUCCAGCUCAACUGCUGCUCUCUCUAACACCAAGCCUCAAUAACAUGGCCUCUGGUUUGUGCCACUUCACAGGAGCUAUAGGGGCUACACAAUGCUUUCCAAAGAGAUGGAGCUACCACAGGCGACAGGCAGGGCAUGCAGUAUCUGAGGAAUUCGGGGUAAAUAGCUGUUUUAACAGUCCUUGCUUUCAGCCGAUGAUGUACACAAAACUGACGCACACUUCACUCUUACCCACAAGCGUGCCUACAUGAUAAUUUCUCUCUUAUUUGCACACACAGAGGCAGAUGAAUAUGUAAAUAACUUGUGAGGGGAAUAUGGAUCCCUUGUGCUGGGAAAGGAAUAUGUUAAUGACCGAUGCAGGGUAUGAGUGUUAAUCACAAGUAUAGGGUGCAUAAAUGUGUUUAGCAAUGGUGUGGGGCCAAUGCAAAUGAAACACAUAGAGGGCAGUGGCAUGUAAAUCGUAUGAUUCACUGACAGAAAGUCGGUGGGGUGAGAAAAAUGGUUUCUGCUGUAAACAAAUCAAAUGCAUUAACGAGGAACAGUACUGGGGGAGAGUCACCUGGUGAAAAGCUGGCAAACGUGGAUGAAUGCUAUACUGUCCUCUCUCGUCUGUUUAGCAUUCGAAACCCAAAUCAAGCCACUGUGAUAAGGGCUGUCGCAGCGGCAACAGUUGCCAGGGAAACCUGAUGGCAGGAUGCUGAGGGUUGGGGGAGGAGGGGAGGAGGGGAGCUUUAUGUGAGGACGCGGGUACAAUGCUCAGGUUGAUUUGCUACCACUGAAGGAACACUGGCCGGCUCGUUGAGAUAUGGCACCUCAAAGGAAAGUGACUGACAAGGGGCAACGGGGCGCCGAUGGUGACGCUCGCUUGGCGCAUUAGACUGAGUGUGUAGUCAUGACAACGAGGUGUUGACAUAGCGCAAUCUGAGCACUGUGAUGGUGAUGACAUUCAGGAAAGUACAGAGCGAGCGUGAGUGAGCUUGUAAACCAGAGCAGGGCCUUUCCUGUCCCCCUGUGCAGAAAAAAAAAAAGGACCCAGUGCUGACCAUUUCACAUUCGCUAUGUCUCAUCUCAAGAAGAGCCAAAGGGAUACAAAC